This 730-nucleotide long non-coding RNA is filed under the name Olea europaea subsp. europaea. Lineage: Eukaryota; Viridiplantae; Streptophyta; Magnoliopsida; Lamiales; Oleaceae. The record is from RNAcentral.
CACGCACAUCUCAAUUAAUUCAUCAAGCUCCACAAGUCAACCUAGUUUUAAUCUGGAUCACUCUUCACAUAAAUCCCUCUCUUUUGUGCAUGUAUGAGAUUUCUAACUUAAAAAACUUAUAUAUUUUUUUGUAUAUAUCCCUCCCCUGCACUGGUUCUUGAAGAUGUCAAUAUUAUAUCAAUGAGUGCAGGGGAUAAAAAAAUUCCAUUCCACAAUUCUGUCUUCAGUUUAUUUGUAGCACAUUUCCCCAAUGGAGAAAUUGCUGUUAAAUUCAGUAUUACGUGAAUAGAACCUGGAUGAAAAUCAUGUGUUGAACAAAAGGUUUCUUUAAGCAAAAGCAUAUGUGACGCAAGUACUCACCAGAUCUUCAAUUGAUGUACACGUAACAGAAACCAAUAUCAACACCAAAGAGCAAUUGCUCAACCCACAAAUCAUACACUAAGGUUGCCCGAGUAUAUGAAUAACCCACAAAGAAUUUAUCUCACAAAGAGGAGAAGUUGGCUGCAAACUCACAAAGAGGAGAGAGAACUUGCGGCUAUAUAGUUCACGCAACGGAAGAAACAGCUGCUUUAUGUUUUCUCAAUUGUGCCACACGUUAAAAACCACAAAUGAAAAUUGGGGUGUUGAUUUCAUAUCUCAAUCCUCGGCCGGAGCCUAUGAAAUUAACCGUUAAACAUCAUCGCCUGUUGGAGGUUGUUUGGCAACAAAAUACCCAAUAGCGUAUAGUAUA